Molecule: ribosomal RNA, 2835 nt
Filed under: Acidithiomicrobium sp. P2
Lineage: Bacteria; Bacillati; Actinomycetota; Acidimicrobiia; Acidimicrobiales; Acidimicrobiaceae
Description: bacterial LSU rRNA
Rfam family: Bacterial large subunit ribosomal RNA
Source: RNAcentral
CUCCAAGUUACUAAGAGCCAACGGUGGAUGCCUUGGCGCCUGGAGCCGAUGAAGGACGUGGGCGACUGCGAUAAGCCAUGGGGAGCUGUCUACCAAGCUUUGAUCCAUGGAUCUCCGAAUGGGGAAACCCGGCAUCGGAAAUGCGAUGCCACCCGUGCCUGAACACAUAGGGCACGUGGAGGGAACAAAGGGAAUUGAAACAUCUCAGUACCUUUAAGGAAAGGAAAGCAACAGCGACUCCCUAAGUAGCGGCGAGCGAAAGGGGAUCAGCCUAAACCGAUCCGGUGAAAUAGCCUGGCGGCGUUGCCGGAGUCGGGGUUGUGGGAACGAAACGAAGGUGCGCCAGAACCUUUAAAGGAGUUACAAAGCCGACUGCUAGCCGAACCGGCUGGAAAGCCGGGCCACAGAGGGUAACGGCCCCGUAGGCAAAAGCGGAAAGCCUCCUUUUCGUCUCCCGAGUAGCGCGGGAUCCGGGAAAGCCCGUGUGAAUCUGCGAGGACCACCUCGUAAGGCUAAGUACUACCAGGCGACCGAUAGCGAACUAGUACCGUGAGGGAAAGGUGAAAAGUACCCCGGGAGGGGAGUGAAAUAGAACCUGAAACCGUUGGUUUACAAGCAGUCAAAGCGGAUUUUCCGCGAUGGCGUGCCUUUUGAAGAAUGAGCCAGCGAGUUACCGUAGGUGGCAAGGUUAACCGAUAAGGGGAGCCGAAGCGAAAGCGAGUCCGAAUAGGGCGUAUAGUUGCCUGCGGUAGACCCGAAGCCGGGUGAUCUAUCCAUGGGCAGGCUGAAGCGGGGGUAAGACUCCGUGGAGGGCCGAACCCACUCUGGUUGAAAACAGGGGGGAUGACCUGUGGAUAGGGGUGAAAGGCCAAUCAAACUCGGUAAUAGCUGGUUCUCCCCGAAAUGUAUUUAGGUACAGCGUCUAGCGUUUUGCAUCGGAGGUAGAGCACUGGAUGGGCUAUGGGGCCCCACAGGCUUACUGAUCCCAACCAAACUCCGAAUGCCGGUGCUUAAGAGCUAGGCAGUGAGACCACGGGGGAUGAGCUUCGUGGUCGAGAGGGAAACAGCCCAGACCGCCGGCUAAGGUCCCCAAGUUCCGACUAAGUGGAAAACGAUGUGAGACUGCCAAGACAGCCAGGAGGUUGGCUUAGAAGCAGCCAUCCUUUAAAGAGUGCGUAAUAGCUCACUGGUCGAGUGGUUUUGCGCGGACAAUGUAACGGGGCUAAGUCGGACACCGAAGCCGCGGAUGGUCCUUAUAGGGCCAUGGUAGGGGAGCGUCGAGCCUGCAGUGAAGCCAAAGCGUAAGCAUUGGUGGAGCGGACUCGAGUGAGAAUGCUGGCAUGAGUAGCGAAAGAGGGGUGAGAAACCCCUCCGCCGAAUGUCUAAGGGUUCCUGGGCAAGGCUAAUCCGCCCAGGGUGAGUCGGGAGCUAAGGCGAGGCCGAAAGGCGUAGUCGAUGCACAACCGGUCAUUAUUCCGGUACCACCGACUUUGCGUUAUAAAGCGAUGGAGGGACGCAGCAGGGUAGGUGAACCCGGGCGUUGGUUGCCCCGGGGAAAGCGUGUAGGGUGAGGUCCAGGCAAAUCCGGUCCUCAUAUAAGCCCGAGACGUGAUUCCGAGCCGCUUUUAGGCGAAGUCAUCGACCCCAUACUGCCGAGAAAAGCUUCUAGCGAGCAAAGCGGUGCCCGUACCCCAAACCGACACAGGUAGACAGGUAGAGAAUACCAAGGCGAUCGGGAGAACUGUGGUUAAGGAACUCGGCAAAUUACUUCCGUAACUUCGGGAUAAGGAAGACCCAAGUAGGGUAAGGGGACUUGCUCCCUCGAGCCCGAGUGGGUGGCACAAACCAGGGGGAAGCGACUGUUUACUAAAAACACAGCAGCGUGCCAAGUCGACAAAGACGAUGUAUACGCUGUGACGCCUGCCCGGUGCCGGAAGGUUACGGGGAGGGGUUAGCGAAAGCGAAGCUCCGAACCUAAGCCCCGGUAAACGGCCGCCGUAACUAUAACGGUGCUAAGGUAGCGAAAUUCCUUGUCGGGUAAGUUCCGACCCGCACGAAUGGCGUAACGACUUCCCCACUGUCUCAACCACAGACCCGGCGAAAUUGAAGUACGAGUAAAGAUGCUCGUUAGCUGCAUCAGGACGGAAAGACCCCGUGGACCUUUACUGUAGCUUGAUGUUGAGCUUUGGUUCCGAUUGUGUAGGAUAGGUGGGAGCCUGUGAAGGCGAGGCGCCAGCUUCGCCGGAGGCGUCGUUGAAAUACCACCCUGUCGGUGCUGGGGCUCUAACCAUGGUCCGUGAAUCCGGAUCGGGGACAGCGUCAGGUGGGCAGUUUGACUGGGGCGGUCGCCUCCUAAAGAGUAACGGAGGCGCCCAAAGGUUCCCUCAGACUGGUUGGCAAUCAGUCGUAAAGAGUGCAAUGGCAAAAGGGAGCUUGACUGCGAGACCCACAAGUCGAGCAGGUGCGAAAGCAGGGCAUAGUGAUCCGGCGGUAGCGUGUGGAAGCGCCGUCGCUCAACGGAUAAAAGGUACCCCGGGGAUAACAGGCUCAUCUUGCCCAAGAGUCCAUAUCGACGGCAAGGUUUGGCACCUCGAUGUCGGCUCGUCGCAUCCUGGGGCUGAAGUAGGUCCCAAGGGUUGGGCUGUUCGCCCAUUAAAGCGGUACGCGAGCUGGGUUUAGAACGUCGUGAGACAGUUCGGUCCCUAUCCGAUGCAGCCGCAGGAAACCUGAGAAAGGCUGUCCCUAGUACGAGAGGACCGGGACGGACGUAGCUCUCGUGUGCCAGUUGUCCCGCCAGGGGCACGGCUGGUUAGCGACCUACGGAAGGGAUAAGCG